RNAcentral lists this long non-coding RNA (1084 nucleotides) under Equus asinus (donkey). RNAcentral describes it as "lncRNA (ENSEASG00005038770.1)". Lineage: Eukaryota; Metazoa; Chordata; Mammalia; Perissodactyla; Equidae. The record is from RNAcentral.
GUUUCACACGACACACACGGACUCACCGGGGUGGGGGGCACGUGGCCUCACCUCGGCAGAGGCCGGCACGGGGCUGGACAGCAGGAAAGGCAGCAAGGAAUUCAAUCCUUCACAAGGCCUAGGAGAGAGAGCUCAGACAUCAAAGGACUCACCAGAGCAAAUAAAGCUUAUCUGUCCUAUGUCCCAGAGUCGUGGGGACAGUAUGUACGAGAAGGCUUUGAGACUGUUAAGUGCCCCUGUAAACUGUUGCUUUCCACCUGCCCUGCAUUCUAUCAGUGGAUGAAAAGAACAACACACAACUGCCAAGCCUGGGCAGCUUCUGCAGGUGAAGUGGACAUGUGGCCAUGGUGUUCUGGGAGGGUAGAGUGAUGUGAUCUGUAAUAUUCUGGGAGGAUGCUGGAGGAAGUGGCCUGGGGUUGCACCUGGAAUGGCAUCUGUGGUCUAAGGAAGGAACCCUGGACUUGGACUUGAAGCUGUAAAACCUAGCUUAGAAUCUUGACCUCCCUGCUCUCUGGCUGUAGGUGGGCAAGUUACUCAGCCUCGCUGAGCCAUGCUUUGCUCUUCUGUACCACGCAACCUGAAAUGUAAAUUAAACACGCACACACAGCCAACAUAAGCCCUGCCUGACACACAGUGGACGUUCAAAGGCUGCUGAAUCUGAAUCGCAUAUCCUCUCUGGAGCCCGAGUUUCCCAUGAGGGAUCCGAACACUCACUCCAGCUAGAGUGAAAACGGCUUAAUCCAGAUUUGACCAGCAAGCGUCAUUUGGAGUUUCAGUGUUGAGAAAUUGGUGGCACAGGUGGGUGACAUUUGUCAUGUAGUUGGAAGCCGGCUCCUGAUUCCCAUCCUUGCUUCCUGAGCCCCAUAUCGAUUGGAGCAGGUGCCUGGAAAAGACACAACAAAUCACACGUACUGGUGCCUCUUUUCUCAGCUUUUGUGUCAGAUGUACAGGAGACAAUCAGAGCAGUGCUGGAAGGGAAAAGAAGUCACUGGAAACCAUUCUGGAGAACCCUAAUGGGGAUGGAAGUUGGGAGAAAAUUUGGGGGUUCUGGAGAUUUUAUAACCUACGGGCCUUUAAAAAAAUC